RNAcentral lists this microRNA precursor (155 nucleotides) under Zea mays. The record is from RNAcentral. Lineage: Eukaryota; Viridiplantae; Streptophyta; Magnoliopsida; Poales; Poaceae.
UUGGUUGUUGGCUGAGAGAGUGCGAUGUUGGCAUGGCUCAAUCAACUCGCCGGCCGCGGGUGGCUUAUAGCUUAAUUCUGCGCAUUCGAUCGAGGUGCGGGCGCAGUGUUUAAUUGAUUGAGCCGUGCCAAUAUCACAACCUUCUCUAGCCUAUA